This is a non-coding RNA of Talpa occidentalis (Iberian mole), 432 nucleotides long. Lineage: Eukaryota; Metazoa; Chordata; Mammalia; Eulipotyphla; Talpidae. The record is from the annotation of a RefSeq genome assembly.
GCCAUGAGCGUCCCCCUCCUGUGCUGGGGGGUCUGGGGUCUCCUGCAGGCAGGUGUGGUGAAGGCUGGGGUCUCUCAGAGCCCCAGAUUCCAGAUCCUGAAGACUGGACAGAGCAGGAACCUGAGUUGUGUCGAGGAUAUGAGGCACAACUCCAUGUACUGGUAUCGCCAGGACCCAGGACUCGGGCUCAGGCUGAUCUAUUACUCAUAUACUUUUGGAUCCAUAGACAAAGGGGACUUCCCCGAUAGGUAUAAUGCCUCCAGACCAAAUACGGGGAACUUCCUGCUCACGCUGGAUUCUGCCUCCCCCUCCCAGACAUCUGUGUACUUCUGUGCCAGCAGUGAAGCACAGUGCUGCAGGCUCACCACCUCUCUGCACAAGAAGGGAGGGCCCUGCACCCUGGGAAACAGCAGAGCCCUUUGCAGACUCUGA